This 125-nucleotide ribosomal RNA is filed under the name Xylodon rimosissimus. Its description in RNAcentral is "partial small subunit ribosomal RNA". It matches the Rfam family "Eukaryotic small subunit ribosomal RNA", at positions 1657 to 1779 of the family's 1831-position model. Lineage: Eukaryota; Fungi; Basidiomycota; Agaricomycetes; Hymenochaetales; Schizoporaceae. The record is from RNAcentral.
CCUUUGUACACACCGCCCGUCGCUACUACCGAUUGAAUGUAUCAGCGAGGCCUUGGGAUUGGUAUCGAGGAGCCGGCAACGGCACCUUGUCGCUGAGAACUUGGUCAAACUCGUAUGUUUAGAGG